Molecule: ribosomal RNA, 468 nt
Filed under: uncultured bacterium
Lineage: Bacteria
Description: partial 16S ribosomal RNA
Rfam family: Bacterial small subunit ribosomal RNA
Source: RNAcentral
GACGAACGCUGGCGGCGUGCUUAACACAUGCAAGUCGAACGGAAAGGCCCAGCUUUUGUGGGGUGCUCGAGUGGCGAACGGGUGAGUAACACGUGAGUAACCUGCCCUUGACUUUGGGAUAACUUCAGGAAACUGGGGCUAAUACCGGAUAGGAGCUCCUGCUGCAUGGUGGGGGUUGGAAAGUUUCGGCGGUUGGGGAUGGACUCGCGGCUUAUCAGCUUGUUGGUGGGGUAGUGGCUUACCAAGGCUUUGACGGGUAGCCGGCCUGAGAGGGUGACCGGCCACAUUGGGACUGAGAUACGACCCAGACUCCUACGGGAGGCAGCAGUGGGGAAUAUUGCACAAUGGGCGGAAGCCUGAUGCAGCAACGCCGCGUGCGGGAUGACGGCCUUCGGGUUGUAAACCGCUUUCGCCUGUGACGAAGCGUGAGUGACGGUAAUGGGUAAAGAAGCACCGGCUAACUACGUG